Molecule: small nuclear RNA, 104 nt
Organism: Cavia porcellus (domestic guinea pig)
Lineage: Eukaryota; Metazoa; Chordata; Mammalia; Rodentia; Caviidae
Source: Ensembl
GUGCUCGCUUCGGCAGCACAUAUACUAAAAUUGGAAUGAUGCAGAGAUUAGCAUGGCCCCUGCACAAGGAUGAUGCACAAAUUCAUGAAGCAUUCCAUAUUUUU